This 253-nucleotide ribosomal RNA is filed under the name uncultured bacterium. RNAcentral describes it as "partial 16S ribosomal RNA". It matches the Rfam family "Bacterial small subunit ribosomal RNA", at positions 524 to 776 of the family's 1533-position model. The record is from RNAcentral.
UACGUAGGGGGCUAGCGUUGUCCGGAAUCAUUGGGCGUAAAGCGCGUGUAGGCGGUUCGAUAAGUCCGCUGUGAAAGUCGGGGGCUCAACCCUCGAAAGCCGGUGGAUACUGUCGGGCUAGAGUACGGAAGAGGCGAGUGGAAUUCCUGGUGUAGCGGUGAAAUGCGCAGAUAUCAGGAGGAACACCAAUUGCGAAGGCAGCUCGCUGGGACGUUACUGACGCUGAGACGCGAAAGCGUGGGGAGCAAACAGG